CCACUGGUUACAGUUUACUGGCCGCCUGUUGAGGGGCCCUAACACACCGUGGCGUCUUUGUUUAUUACAGUUUGCAUAAUUUUUACAGAAUUGGGGGAUGGGGGGAGUAUUUCAGUGGUAAGAAGGAUGCUGAAGUUGAUACCGGUAAGUGUUGGUACGUCUAGGGGAAGCUUAAGUACUUCGAUCGCGUCCUUUAGUUCCCGUCUUGCUGCGGAGUAGUGUGGACAUUGUAAAAGGACGUGUGCUGUAUUUUCUUUUUCUGGGCAUCCGUGCAUGCAUUCUGGUUGUAUAUCCAUAUCUCACUUGCUGAUUGUGCCGUUGAGUUUGUUGUGCCCGCUUCGUAACCUCAACAAUGCAGAUUGUAUGGCUUGGUUUGUGUGAGUAUGCCAGCUAUAGAUCCCCAUCCGUAUCCUAUUCGUUACUGCUACGUUUGUGGAAUUUCUUUUUGUUUUUUCAAAUACCAUCUUGUCAUGGUUGUUUUUUAUUUUCGUGAGGAUUUCUGCUGUGUUUGGUGUGUGUGUCAUCGUCUUGCCGUCGUCUGCAUUUCUUCUUGAGUUUGCGAGCUGGUCGGCAAUUUAAUUUCCUUUAAUCCCGGCAUGACUUGGGAUGUGGAUGCUUGAUGCCCAUUUGAAGUGAGUUAUUGCUUGUAUUGCAGCCAUGGAGUCUGUGUAAAUAGUUAUCUCGUUCCAGUCUUGGGUGUAGGUAUGUACACUGCACAGGUUGUCUUCUUUGAAGUCUUACAUGUUGACCCGUCAGUGUAUAUGGCUAGAUGGUCUUGAUGCUCUUGGUUCUGGAUUUCAAGGAAUGUAUUUGUGGCAAGAGUUGCAUUAUUUCUCGCUGUUCUCUUGGUUACAGGUAAGAAGUCUGUCUUUAUAUCAAAUAGUUUCCAUGGUGCCAUUGGGUCUACGUAGGGUUGAUGAGUUGGCUCCUGUAAGUGGAGGCAGAAGUCCCGGCCCAUGUUGUUGAGGUGUAGUGAGGUGGCUGGUGUGCUUCUUGUUUUCCAGUUGGCUUUUUCCUUUGCUAGUUUGUACAUUGUAGGGUAUGCGGAGUUCCAUGGCUUGCUUCUUAACUUUGUCAGGUAUCUGGCAGCGAGCAUGUUCCAUCUGUCUCUGAUGGAUGUGAUACCAGUUUCCAUUUGGAUUAAUGGGAUUGGUGUAGAUUUGAAGCAGCCUAGGAUAGUGCGUAAUAUUUGAUUUUGGGUUGUUUCCAGUUUGAGUAGUCUUGUUUUUGGUAUUGUUGCGAGAAUGAAGGAUCCGUAGUCGAUUUUACUGCGGAUUAGGGCGACAUAGAUUCUUACUAGCAGUUUUAAUUGUAGUGUUGAUUUUCCGUGGGUGAGGGAUUUUAUGCAAUUCGAUCGACGGCAUAGGUUUGCGUGGAUGUAGUUAAUGUGUGGAUCCCAAUUUAACUUUGAAUCAAAUAUGACUCCCAAGAACUUGUAGUUGUUUUUUUCAGCAAUGCGGAUGUUGUUAAGUGUUAGGUUGAGUUCACUUUCAUCUGU
Long non-coding RNA from Daphnia magna, 1498 nucleotides. RefSeq lists it as uncharacterized. Lineage: Eukaryota; Metazoa; Arthropoda; Branchiopoda; Diplostraca; Daphniidae. The record is from RefSeq and is a predicted model, not a curated record. The transcript is spliced from 4 exons.